AACGUAGGAGACAAACGUUAUCCGGAAUUACUGGGCGUAAAGGGCGCGUAGGCGGCACGGCAAGUCGGGAGUGAAAGCCCGGGGCUCAACCCCGGAGGGUCUUCCGAAACUGCCGAGCUAGAGUGCGGAAGAGGCAACCGGAAUUCCCAGUGUAGCGGUGAAAUGCGUAGAUAUUGGGAAGAACACCAGAGGCGAAGGCGGGUUGCUGGGCCGACACUGACGCUGAGGCGCGAAAGCCAGGGGAGCAAACGGG
Molecule: ribosomal RNA, 253 nt
Filed under: uncultured bacterium
Lineage: Bacteria
Description: partial 16S ribosomal RNA
Rfam family: Bacterial small subunit ribosomal RNA
Source: RNAcentral